GACGAACGCUGGCGGCGUGCUUAACACAUGCAAGUCGAACGAUGAAGCCCAGCUUGCUGGGUGGAUUAGUGGCGAACGGGUGAGUAACACGUGAGUAACCUGCCCUUGACUCUGGGAUAAGCGCUGGAAACGGCGUCUAAUACCGGAUACGACCUGCCCCGGCAUCGGGUGCGGGUGGAAAGUUUUUCGGUCAAGGAUGGACUCGCGGCCUAUCAGCUUGUUGGUGAGGUAAUGGCUCACCAAGGCGACGACGGGUAGCCGGCCUGAGAGGGUGACCGGCCACACUGGGACUGAGACACGGCCCAGACUCCUACGGGAGGCAGCAGUGGGGAAUAUUGCACAAUGGGCGAAAGCCUGAUGCAGCAACGCCGCGUGGGGGAUGACGGCCUUCGGGUUGUAAACCUCUUUUAGUAGGGAAGAAGGACUUCGGUUUGACGGUACCUGCAGAAAAAGCACCGGCUAACUACGUGCCAGCAGCCGCGGUAAUACGUAGGGUGCAAGCGUUGUCCGGAAUUAUUGGGCGUAAAGAGCUCGUAGGCGGUUUGUCGCGUCUGCUGUGAAAACCCGAGGCUCAACCUCGGGCCUGCAGUGGGUACGGGCAGACUAGAGUGCGGUAGGGGAGAAUGGAAUUCCUGGUGUAGCGGUGGAAU
This 650-nucleotide ribosomal RNA is filed under the name Rathayibacter sp. YIM KMY34. Its description in RNAcentral is "bacterial SSU rRNA". It matches the Rfam family "Bacterial small subunit ribosomal RNA", at positions 28 to 687 of the family's 1533-position model. Lineage: Bacteria; Bacillati; Actinomycetota; Actinomycetes; Micrococcales; Microbacteriaceae. The record is from RNAcentral.